CUACAGGCUUAACACAUGCAAGUCGAGGGGCAUCAGUUUGGUUUGCUUGCAAACCAAAGCUGGCGACCGGCGCACGGGUGAGUAACACGUAUCCAACCUGCCUCAUACUCGGGGAUAGCCUUUCGAAAGAAAGAUUAAUAUCCGAUAGCGUAUAUUUCCCGCAUGGGUUUUAUAUUAAAGAAAUUCGGUAUGAGAUGGGGAUGCGUUCCAUUAGUUUGUUGGGGGGGUAACGGCCCACCAAGACUACGAUGGAUAGGGGUUCUGAGAGGAAGGUCCCCCACAUUGGAACUGAGACACGGUCCAAACUCCUACGGGAGGCAGCAGUGAGGAAUAUUGGUCAAUGGACGCGAGUCUGAACCAGCCAAGUAGCGUGAAGGAUGACUGCCCUAUGGGUUGUAAACUUCUUUUAUAUGGGAAUAAAGUUGUCCACGUGUGGAUUUUUGUAUGUACCAUAUGAAUAAGGAUCGGCUAACUCCGUGCCAGCAGCCGCGGUAAUACGGAGGAUCCGAGCGUUAUCCGGAUUUAUUGGGUUUAAAGGGAGCGUAGGCGGAUUGUUAAGUCAGUUGUGAAAGUUUGCGGCUCAACCGUAAAAUUGCAGUUGAUACUGGCAGUCUUGAGUGCAGUAGAGGUGGGCGGAAUUCGUGGUGUAGCGGUGAAAUGCUUAGAUAUCACGAAGAACUCCGAUUGCGAAGGCAGCUCACUGGAGUGUAACUGACGCUGAUGCUCGAAAGUGUGGGUAUCAAACAGGAUUAGAUACCCUGGUAGUCCACACAGUAAACGAUGAAUACUCGCUGUUUGCGAUAUACAGUAAGCGGCCAAGCGAAAGCAUUAAGUAUUCCACCUGGGGAGUACGCCGGCAACGGUGAAACUCAAAGGAAUUGACGGGGGCCCGCACAAGCGGAGGAGCAUGUGGUUUAAUUCGAUGAUACGCGAGGAACCUUACCCGGGCUUAAAUUGCAAAUGAAUUAUGGGGAAACCCAUAGGCCGUAAGGCAUUUGUGAAGGUGCUGCAUGGUUGUCGUCAGCUCGUGCCGUGAGGUGUCGGCUUAAGUGCCAUAACGAGCGCAACCCUUAUCUUCAGUUACUAACAGGUCAUGCUGAGGACUCUGGAGAGACUGCCGUCGUAAGAUGUGAGGAAGGUGGGGAUGACGUCAAAUCAGCACGGCCCUUACGUCCGGGGCUACACACGUGUUACAAUGGGGGGUACAGAAGGCCGCUACCUGGUGACAGGAUGCCAAUCCCAAAAACCUCUCUCAGUUCGGAUCGAAGUCUGCAACCCGACUUCGUGAAGCUGGAUUCGCUAGUAAUCGCGCAUCAGCCAUGGCGCGGUGAAUACGUUCCCGGGCCUUGUACACACCGCCCGUCAAGCCAUGAAAGCCGGGGGUACCUGAAGUACGUAACCGCAAGGAGCGUCCUAGGGUAAAACUGGUAAUUGGGGCUAAGUCAUAACA
This 1450-nucleotide ribosomal RNA is filed under the name uncultured organism. RNAcentral's name for it is "SSU rRNA". It matches the Rfam family "Bacterial small subunit ribosomal RNA". The record is from RNAcentral.